AGAAUAAUUGUAUGUGUUGAAAAGGUUCAAGUUUGGGGUUGAAUGGGGAAAAUGAAAAGCAAAAGAAUAAGCAUUGAGUUCAAAAAAAAAGUGAAAAAGAAAAAUGCAUGAGAAAAAGAAAAGAAGAAAAGAGAAAAAGCAUGUAAAGUGAGCUCAAUGUAAAAGGAAAAGGGAAGAAGUUGGGAAUGAAUGAGAUUGGUUAAAAGGAGAGUGUGCUUGAACUUUGAAUGAUUUAAACUCUCAUAACUCAAGGAUUUUGUAUUCUAGAAAAACCAAUUUUUCUUGAUAGCUCAGGCUCAUUACAAGCCUUGGAAAAAGUCCUUGUGAUGGCAUUUUCAUGUGAAAGAAUUUGAUUGUUUUAGAUGAAUGGCAAU
RNAcentral lists this long non-coding RNA (374 nucleotides) under Vigna radiata. RNAcentral describes it as "long non-coding RNA (VRAD_LNC003611)". Lineage: Eukaryota; Viridiplantae; Streptophyta; Magnoliopsida; Fabales; Fabaceae. The record is from RNAcentral.